This 7073-nucleotide long non-coding RNA is filed under the name Phoenix dactylifera (date palm). RNAcentral describes it as "long non-coding RNA (PDAC_LNC004607)". The record is from RNAcentral. Lineage: Eukaryota; Viridiplantae; Streptophyta; Magnoliopsida; Arecales; Arecaceae.
UCAGAUUUAUGGCUACCCUGGUGGUCAAGAUAAAAUCUAUAAAUUUAUCAAGGAAAAUGUCGACUAUUCAUGUUAUCCCUGUUUCGAGGUUAUUAUUAGAACCGAUCGUUUUAUCCGUUGCAUCGAUCGUGGUUGGAGAUUCCAACUACAGCUUGAUGGCCGCAUGGUUGUGUUGUGCAACUCCUGUUCGUAUAUGGCGUAUCCACAAAUGUAACUUAGACAUCCUAACACCUCCUUAAUUUUGUUCAUGCAAUUAAAAACUAGAAGUUCUCAUCCUCUCUGUCAAAUUAUAAUUUAACAGUAUAUUUCUCUGAUCACACUAUCGAGCCCCAUCCAAACUGUCACGUACGAAGGGAUCUCAGAGCGGAUCCCUACAACGUACGGCUCGGUCUACCGAAGAGAACCGAUUAGCCUUCCUGGCGUGGGAACCUAGUCUCUAUGACUUAGGUCACGCCUAACAACAAUAAUGCAGCGAAGCACGACAUCAGAAAAUACCACAAAGGAGAAGGAGAAAUACAGAGGAAGAGAACUUUAUUGAAUAAUCACUCAACUGAUUACAAUAAGCUCUCCUGGUCUCUCCAGCUCUACCUGAUACCAACCCCUCUCUUUUGAGGAGCAACCUCCAAUUACAAGUCCCUCACAAACUUCACUUUCCAUGUACAAUAUAAGGAUGAAUCCUAGAUAAGAUAAGAAAACCCCCAUUCCCGCAGGAUUCUGCGCAAUUAGAUGAAACGGCCAAGUUCGUGCCCCAACUGAACUCGGAUUACCACGAAACUGGAUUCGUUGGAUUUGGGACGAAAAAUCCUUCCAGAUGGCACCUUUCCCACUUUGAACGGACUUCUGUAGAGUUUCCAAAAUGCCCCUCAACGUGAGAACGCGUGGAAACAACGUUACAACCACGUUUUCUAACCAUACAUCUUUCAGUUAUGAAAACGUGUUAAAACGUGUCCCUUGCCUUCUGAAGACUUAUGCCACGUACCUCCAUCAGUGGCACACAUUUCCAUGCAUCCCAAUUUUUUGGAUUCAAUCCAUGCUUCGAGAUAGCCCACAACACUGAAUCAGACUUGUUGCAGCAGCUUUCCUCCUAAUGAUGAACCAGCAUGUAUUCUUGCCAAUACACGCAUUGGAGCACGUGCCCUCGGCCCCAUGCUCUUGGGUAUUACUCCUAGAUCUUGCAUACGUUUUCCUAGGUGAUCCUAGGGCCCAUAUUUGGUCUCCAAAUUGCCCAAUCUCUAGAAAGCAUGGUCAGAUCUCGAACCCGUCCAGCAACCCAAUCUGGUUUAUACCUUGAUCCACAUCUGGUCUAGCCCCGAUUCGAGGAGCCGUGACACCCUCCCCCACCUAAGCCAAAGUCGCCCCUGACGAGGCUAGGCGGUACUCAUUGAUGAUGUCCUCGAACUGCCAUAGUUCGUCACCAUACUCCUAGCUUGCUUCUGAAUCUGAUAGUCCUUUCCAUCGGACUAAGUAUUGCACACGGUUACCCUUUUUUCUGUCCGCCUUGCUUUUAGAAAUCUUCUUGGUGUAAUGAACUCGUACGACCACUGGAGCUCGCCCGCUUUGAGCCCGAGAAGGGCCAGUUAUGUCCUCUUUGAACGGUUUCAACAGGGACACGUGGAACACCGGAUGCACUUUCAGCUUGGAAGGCAGCGAUAAUCGGUACGCUGUCUCUCCAAUUCGAUGUGUGAUGAUGAAGGGACCUUCAUACCUCCUCACGAGUGCUUUGUGGUAGCCCGACUUCAAUUUCAUGUGAUGGUAAAGCUUUACCAAUACCCGAUCACCAACCUGAAAUUCAGCUGCCCGCCGCUUUAUGUCAGCCCAUUUCUUCAUCCGUUUGGUCGCCUUCAACAAGAAGACCUGAACCAAAUCUGUAUCCUCUUUCAGAUCCCUCACGAACCUGUAGGCGGUCGGACUACGUCCCAUGUAGUCCGUUGCGAUACUUUUCGGAGUGUCUGGUUGCAGCCCUGUAAUAACCUCAAACGGUGAUUUACCCAUCGACUCCGAUCGCUGUAAGUUGUAGCUGAAUUGGGCUUGGUCCAAGAGUCUCACCCAAUUCCGCUGGUUGGCACUCACAUAGUGCCUCAAAUACAUCUCCAAUAAUGCAUUGGUUNNNNNNNNNNNNNNNNNNNNCUUUUCGGAGUGUCUGGUUGCAGCCCUGUAAUAACCUCAAACGGUGAUUUACCCAUCGACUCCGAUCGCUGUAAGUUGUAGCUGAAUUGGGCUUGGUCCAAGAGUCUCACCCAAUUCCGCUGGUUGGCACUCACAUAGUGCCUCAAAUACAUCUCCAAUAAUGCAUUGGUUCGCUCUGUUUGGCCGUCGGUCUGAGGGUGGAAGGCCGUGGACUCUGUUCAGAACCUCCCCGUGAAGCGAGCAUCACGAUCAGAAACGAUACUCCGCGGUAUCCCCCAAUAUUUCACCACAUAUGUGAAGAACAGUCGCGCCAUGUCCUCCGCAUGGCAAGUAGUAGGUGCUGGAAUGAAGACUCUGUACUUCGAGAAGCGAUCCACCACUACCAUGAUAGAGCUGUUCCUAUCCACCGGAGGUAGUCCGAUGAUGAAGUCCAUGGAGACACUCUCCCACGGAUGCUCUGGUAUAGAUAAUGGUUCUAACCCCGCAGGCCGUCGAUGUUCAACUUUGUCUUGUUGGCAUAGCAGACAAGUGCGAACAUACUCCUCGAUGUCAUCCCGCAUCUUCGGCCAAUAGUAGUUAUGUUCUAUGAGAGCUUGGGUCCGAUGCUCCCUCUGGUGUCCCGCCCGCAUAGAAUCAUGGUGUUCUCGCAACACCUCAUGCCUCAGCCCUGCACCUGAAGGCACAUAGACACGUCGCCCUCGUGUCAAAAUCAGCCCUCUUUCGGUCCAGAAACGGCAUGCCUUGUCGUCUUUGAUGAGUUCACCCAUGGAAGUGGCCCAUGGAUCCUUUUCCAUCUCGGUCUUGACCCUCUUCAUUAUGUUACUUGUUGGUCCGGAAAAGGAAGAAACCGCAGCCAAUUGUACCUUCCUACUCAAGGCAUCAGGGACCGAAUUAAUUCGGCCCGACUUGUACUCAAUGUCGAAAUCGAAUUCAGCGAGAAAUUGUUGUCAUCUUGCCUGCUUGGGGGUGAGCUUUGGCUGGGUUUGAAAGUAGCUUAUGGCCACAUUAUCUGUGCGCACCACAAACUUAGAUCCGAGUAGGUAAUGACGCCAGGUUCGAAGACAGUGCACAAUCGCUGUCAUCUCCUUUUCAUGAACUGUAUACCUGCACUCGGUGUCGUUCAACUUCCGACUCUCGUAGGCCACUGGGUGCCUUUCCUGCAUGAGCACCCCUUCAAUGGCAAAAUCCGAUGCGUUGGUGUGGACUUCAAAAGGAGUGGAAAAGUCCGGUAGCACAAGGACCGGCUCCACCAUGACCGCCUGCUUGAGACGAUCAAACGCCUCCUGACAUUGGUUUGACCACCGCCAUGGUCGAUCCUUCUUUAACAAAUCCGUCAGUGGGCACAUAACUUCGAAUAUUCGGUGAUGAACCUCCUAUAGUAAUUUGCCAAGCCAAGAAAAGAGCGUAAGUGUGUAACUCGUGUAGGUACCUCCCACUCGGCUAUGGCUGAAAUUUUUGAGGGAUCCAUCAUGAGCCUUCCAUCCCCAAUGAUGUGCCCGAGGAACGGCACCCUCCGUUGCGCAAACACACACUUCUCCCUUUUCACAAAAAGCUAGUGCUGCCGUAAGGUGGAGAAGACUUGCCUCAGGUGCGCCACAUGCUCAUCCAACGUCCAGCUAUACACAACAAUGUCAACCAAGUAUACUACCACGAAUUUAUCAAUAAAGUUAUGGAAUACAUGCCGCAUCAAAGUACAGAAAGUUGUUGGUGCGUUGGUGAGGCCAAAAGGCAUGACAAGGUACUCGAAGCUUCCAUACCUUGUCACACAUAUAGUCUUCUCAAUGUCCUCCUCCGCCACGCGGACCUGAUAGUACCCGCUGCGAAGAUCCAACUUGGUAAUCCAUCGUGCCUUACUAAGUUGAUCGAACAAAUCAUCAAUCCGUGAAAUGGGGUACUUAUUCUUCACCGUGAGCUUGUUGAGGGCCCUGUAGUCGAUGCAGAGUCUCAACGAACCAUCGUACUUCUUCUGAAAAAGUACCGGUGCUCCAUACGGACUCUUCGAAGGUCGAAUGAACCCGCUGUCCACCAACUCCGUUAGCUGCCUCCUUAGCUCCUGGAGUUCAGGUGGGGCCAUUCUAUAUGGUGCUUGAGCUGGUGGACAUGCUCCAUGUACCAAAUCAAUCCGAUGAUCGAUUUCUCUUUUUGGCGGCAAUCGCUUGGGUAACUCAAGGGGCAUCAUAUCCUCGAAUUCAGUGAGAACACCCUUGAUGGGUGCUGGAAUCUCCUCUCCUUCCGGUAGGUCUUCCUCCUGAAGGGACGCAAUAUAUGUUGGAAGUCCCCUUCUCAGCCCCUUAGCAAGUUGCAUCGCCAAUAGGACUCGUUGCGGAGUCCCUUUAAUUCGCUUUCCUAGAACUACGCAAGCUCCACUCGUAUUCAAGACUACCACCACAUCUGAAUCCGGCUUUACCAUGGCUUGUAGCUAGGUAAGCAAAGACAUACCGAUGACCACCUCGUAGUCGUCGAUCGGGGCAACCACCGCUGUCACCCAUCCGGUCCCUGCGCCGAAUUGGAUCUCAACAUCCUUUGAUGUUCCACUUGUAGCUAUCUCUGCGGAGUUGACCGCCUUGAAUGUGUGUUCAUCAUGUUCAAUCUUCAGAUUGAGCCUCUUCGUCGUAGCUAAGUUCACAAAGAAGUCAUUGGCACCCGUAUCAUUGAGUGCCUGGAAGAUGUGACCACCAAUGCUGAUAGGUGCAUAGAGCAAGCCUCGUGGCCUCUUGGCCUUCAGGGCGUUGAGACUGAGUGAGCCUAUCCUUUGGUCGGUCUCUUGCUUCUCCUCCACCGCCAUAGAUGCUAUCUUGCCCCUCAAUGGACAGUCCUUCACCUUGUGCGGUCCAUUGCAAAUAUAGCAUGAGAUAGUGCUGGUACCUUGCGCCACCCCUUUGCCCUUUGCUUGGGAAGUCCCUCCACUCGAGGAGCCUGGAUUCGAGCCUUUUGCACCUCCCUUGUGACCUGAUUUCGCUCCCCCACCUUUGCCCUAUUUCGAUGCUUGGGCUUUGGGAGUUGUAGGUUGAGUCUUGAACUCGAUGAGAGCCUCCGCUUGAGCUAUCGCCUCAUUCAAACUCUGGACUCCUCUUCACUGCAAUUCCACCUUGGCCCACGGUUUGAGCCUGUCAAGGAAGAUGAAGAGAGAGUCUUCGUUGCUGAGGUCUGGUACCUCCAACAACAAUUCGCUGAACUUUCGCACAUACUCACGCACAUCACCCUUUUGCGUGAGUCGCCGUAGUCGUGCUUGAGCAUCAUCCUUAGCGAACGUGGGAAAGAAUUGCUUCCGAAGUUCAAUUUGGAACUGUGCCCAAGUAGUGAUUGGAACAGCCCCUCGCUUCACAUCGUCAGCCCAACGUUGCCACCAAAGCAUUACCACAUCCCUCAAGAACAUGGCCGUCGUGCUCACCUUCAUGGCUUCCUCUCUCACGCUGGUAACCUGGAGGUAUUGUUCCACAGCGAAAAGGAAGUUAUCCACCUCCUUCGUGGACCGUUGUCCGUAGAACUCCUGCGGCUUGGGAACAUUAAGCUUGUGCAGGGGGUGUGUAGCCUCUCUUGCGACCUCCAUUGUCAAUGGAGAAGAGGAUACGCCUGUGAUGGUACUCUCAUUUAAAAGGUCAACCACCUGAUUUUGGAGAGCCUUCACCAUGAUCUCCAACUCCUCGUUAUGCCGCAACACUUCCUUAUAACGCCGCUCCAUAUCGAAGGAAAUCUGGUUCAGCUGAGCGGCGAUCUCACCUCGGAGGGUUGCGUCCCUACCCUCAAGGUCCUCCAUCCGCCCUUCAACCUCAGCUAUUUGGGCCUUGCACCUCCAUAAUCGAUUGUCGGCGGAGAUAACCGGAGAUGCAAUGCGUAACCCAUGUAGGGAAUCAUCAACUGGAUGUGCUCCACCCACCACCGUACCUCCUCCUGAGGCUGGAUUGGGAUCCACGGUCGAGGAUGAUGCGUCCGCCAUUCCCACCAUGGAAGUUACCGUAGAGGUCGUCUCCCUCAUUUUUGGUAUGGCUCUGAUACCAAGUGUCACAUACGAAGGGAUCUCAGAGCGGAUUCCAACAACGUGCGGCUCGGUCUACCGAAGAGAACCGAUCAGCCUUCCUGGUGUGGGAACCUAGUCUCUAUGACUUAGGUCAUGCCUAACAACAAUAAUGCAGCGAAGCACGACACCAGAAAAUGCCACGAAGGAAAAGGAGAAAUACAGGGGAAGAGAACUUUAUUGAAUGACCACUCAACUGAUUACAAUAAGCUCUCCUGGUCUCUCCAGCUCUACCUGAUACCAAUCCCUCCCCUUUUAAGGGUCCUCUUAUAGAGGAGCAACCUCCAAUUACAAGUUCCUCAUGAACUCCACUUUCCAUGUACAAGAUAAGGAUGAAUCCUAGAUAAGAUAGAAAAACCUCCAUUCCAGCAGGAUUCUACGCAAUCAGAUGAAACGGCCAAGUUCGUGCCCCAACCGAACUCAGAUUACCACGAAACUGGAUUCGUUGGAUUUGGGACAAAAAAUCCUUCCAGAUGGCAUCUUUUCCACUUUGAACGGACUUUUGUAGAGUUUCCGAAAUGCCCCUCAACGUGAGAACCUGUGGAAACAGCGUUACAACCACGUUUUCUAACCAUAUAUCUUUCAGUUAUGAAAACGUGUUAAAACGUGUUCCUUGCCUUCUGGAGACUUAUGCCACGUACCUCCAUCAGUGGCACACAUUUCCAUGCAUCCCAAUUUUUCGGAUUCAAUCCAUGCUUCGAGAUAAGCCCACAACACUGAAUCAGACUCGUUGCAGCAGCUUUCCUCCUAAUGAUGAACUAGCAUGUAUUCUUGCCAAUACACGCCUUGGAGCACGUGCCCCGGCCCCCAUGCUCUUGGGUAUUACUCCUAGAUCUUGCACACAUUUUUCUAGGUGAUCCUAGGGCCCAGAUUUGGUCUCCAAGUUGCCCAAAUCUCCAGAAAGCACGGUCAGACCUCGAACCCGUCCAGC